AUGGGCAGGAGUUUGGGAUUGUGGGCAGGAGUUUGGGAUUAUGAACAGGAUCCCAAAAUUAUGGGCAGGAAUUUGGGAUUGUGGGCAGGAGUUUGGGAUUUUGGGCAGGAUCCCAAAAUUAUGGGCAGGAAUUUGGGAUUUUGGGCAGGAGUUUGGGAUUGUGGGCAGGAUCCCAAAAUUAUGGGCAGGAGUUUGGGAUCAUGGAAAGGAGUUUGGGAUUUUGGGCAGGAAUUUGGGAUUGUGGGCAGGAUCCCAAAAUUACAGGCAGGAAUUUGGGAUUGUGGGCAGGAGCCCAAAAUUAUGGGUAAGAGUUUGGGAUUGUGGGCAGGAGUUUGGGAUUGUGGGCAGGAUCCCAAAAUUAUGGGUAAAAGUUUGGGAUCAUGGAAAGGAGUUUGGGAUUUUGGGCAGGAGUUUGGGGUUAUGGACAGGAUCCCAAAAUUAUGGACAGGAAUUGGGGUUAUGGACAGGAGCCCAAAAUUAUGGGCAGGAUCCCAAAAUUAUGGGCAGGAAUUUGGGAUUGUGGGCAGGAGUUUGGGAUUGUGGGCAGGAGUUUGGGAUUGUGGGCAGGAGUUUGGGAUUGUGGGCAGGAGCCCAAAAUUAUGGGCAGGAAUUUGGGAUUAUGGGCAGGAUCCCAAAAUUAUGGGUAAGAGUUUGGGAUCAGGGAAAGGAGUUUGGGGUUAUGGGCAGGAAUUUGGGAUUUUGGGCAGGAGUUCGGGAUUGUGGACAGGAGCCCAAAAUUAUGGACAGGAAUUUGGGAUUGUGAGCAGGAUCCCAAAAUUAUGGGCAGGAUCCCAAAAUUAUGGGCAGGAAUUUGGGAUUUUGGGCAGGAGUUUGGGAUUUUGGGCAGGAGCCCAAAAUUAUGGGACAGGAGUCUGGAUUUAUGGGCAGGAGCCCAGAAUGAAGAACAGGAGCCCAAAGUUAUGGACAGGAAUUUGGGAUUAGGGACAGGAACCCAGAAUCAAGGACAAGACUCUGGAAUUAUUAAUAGGAGCCCAGAAUUAAGGACAGGAUCUGGGAUUAGGGCCAGGAGUCUGGGAUUAAGGACAGGAACCCACAAUUAAGGACAGGACUCUGGGAUUAUGAACAGGAACCCAGAAUUAAGAACAUGAGUUUGGGAUUAGGAACAGGAACCCAGAAUCAAGGACAGGACUCUUCUGCAUUGCCAGGGAAAUGGAGACGUCCUGGUCAUUUUGGCGUUUCUUUUUCCUGACAAAUCCAUUCACUCCAACGGCAAUGGGAAUUUUGACAUCAUUAAAAAAGCAGCACAAAGUUAAAUUCCUGGACAGUUUUGGCCAUUCCUCCCUAAUUCCCCGUUUGGGUUUUUGCAGCAAAGGUGGUGUGAAAAGGAAUUAAUGUUCCCGCACUAAAAGGGAGAAAAUCCCAAAUCUGCCAGGCUGCCGUGUAAUCCCAUUUGAGGAAAUGUGGAAAUCGUUACAAAAACACCGAGAGGGCUGAGUCACAUGCACAGCAUGGAAAAUUUGAUCCCGAAUGUUUACAAAUUGCAAGCUUUUCAUGCUGUGUGGGGUAAACUUCACUAAGCUGCAAAAAAUUCCAGUUCUGCUGCGGGGAUGAAAGGGGAAAAUCCCGUUAAAUAUCGAGAAAAGGGUUUGGGGAAAUAUUCCCAAAAAAAAAAAAAAAGCAGAAUUUUCCCAGAGGUCACCACGCUGUCUGUGGUGGCACCCAAAGGGUGGGUGGCAUCACAGAGCCACGGAGGGGUCACCCCUGGUGUGCCAAAGUUCAUUGGCAUUGGCAUUGGCAUUGAUAUUGUCACCGCCACUGCCAUAGUCAAUGCCAUUGCCAUUGCCACUCCCAUUGCCAUUUCCAGUGCCAUCCUCAUUAUCAUUCCUAUUGCCACUGCCAUUGUCAUUGCCAGUGCCACUCCCAUUGCCAUUCCCAUUGCCAUUGUCAUUGUCAUUGCCAUUGCCAUUGCCAUUCCCAUGCC
Zonotrichia albicollis (white-throated sparrow) is the source of this 1942-nucleotide long non-coding RNA. The record is from Ensembl. Lineage: Eukaryota; Metazoa; Chordata; Aves; Passeriformes; Passerellidae.